This 451-nucleotide ribosomal RNA is filed under the name uncultured bacterium. Its description in RNAcentral is "partial 16S ribosomal RNA". It matches the Rfam family "Bacterial small subunit ribosomal RNA", at positions 354 to 796 of the family's 1533-position model. The record is from RNAcentral.
GUGGGGAAUCUUCCGCAAUGGGCGCAAGCCUGACGGAGCAACGCCGCGUGAAUGAAGAAGGCCUUCGGGUCGUAAAGUUCUGUCUUUAGAGAAGAAGUCUCUCUAUGUGAAUAAUGUAGAGAGGUGACGGUACCUAAGGAGGAAGCUCCGGCUAACUACGUGCCAGCAGCCGCGGUAAUACGUAGGGAGCAAGCGUUGUCCGGAAUUACUGGGCGUAAAGGGCGCGUAGGCGGAUAAUUAAGUCAGGUGUGAAAACUCUGGGCUCAACCUGGAGAUUGCACUUGAAACUGGUUAUCUUGAGGGCAGGAGAGGAAAGUGGAAUUCCUAGUGUAGCGGUGAAAUGCGUAGAUAUUAGGAGGAACACCAGUGGCGAAAGCGGCUUUCUGGACGACAACUGACGCUGAGGCGCGAAAGCCAGGGGAGCAAACGGGAUUAGAUACCCGUGUAGUCC